GGUCCUUGCAUAUGUUCCUUGGAACAGGACAUCAUAGAGGGUGAGAAUCCCGUUCAUGGUGGGGAAUCCAAUUCUUUGUAAAGUGCUUUCGAAGAGUCGAGUUGUUUGGGAAUGCAGCUCUAAGUGGGUGGUAAAUUCCAUCUAAAGCUAAAUAUUGGCGAGAGACCGAUAGCGAACAAGUACAGUGAUGGAAAGAUGAAAAGAACUCCGAAAGGAGAGUGAAAAAGGACGUGAAAUUGUUGAAAGGGAAGUGCUUGAGAUCAGUCUUAAGGUUUAGUGAUCAGUCUUCCUUUUGGUUGGUGCACUCACUAUUUCUUAGGCCAACAUCAGUUUUGGCGGCAGGAUAAUGACAUUGGAAUGUGGCUCUUUCGGGAGUGUUAUAGCCUUUGUUGAUACUGCCUGCUUAGACAGAGGACUGCGCUUUUGCUAGGAUGUUGGCAUAAUGAUCUU
RNAcentral lists this ribosomal RNA (450 nucleotides) under Lipomyces starkeyi. RNAcentral's name for it is "partial 26S ribosomal RNA". It matches the Rfam family "Eukaryotic large subunit ribosomal RNA", at positions 172 to 641 of the family's 3401-position model. Lineage: Eukaryota; Fungi; Ascomycota; Lipomycetes; Lipomycetales; Lipomycetaceae. The record is from RNAcentral.